Molecule: unclassified non-coding RNA, 323 nt
Filed under: Hevea brasiliensis (rubber tree)
Lineage: Eukaryota; Viridiplantae; Streptophyta; Magnoliopsida; Malpighiales; Euphorbiaceae
Source: RNAcentral
GUGAGUCUUGUAAAUCAGAGAAACCAUUGGAGUGCAGCGAAUUCGAUCAGAAGGGCAUUCUUGACUGUGGGAAUUCUAAAUUGACCAAGCCCUUAAGGCAUGAUGAGAGUAUAGAUACAGAUGUUGGCUUCGUUGUUGAGAACUUCUACCCUGAGAACCCUAAAUGGUUUGAUUCAUCCUGUGAACUGGACUCCGGCGCAGAUUGUGUUGACAGCGGAUUCAAGCCUGGGGGGCUUGUUUAGAGAUCUUACAGCUGGUGACCCACUCUAACUUAAUUAUAGUCCUCCUUGUUCCAUUUUUCAUACUAUAAUGUUAGAUGUGGG